This 274-nucleotide unclassified non-coding RNA is filed under the name Tilletia sp. Its description in RNAcentral is "partial internal transcribed spacer region". The stretch from base 1 to 46 matches the Rfam family "Eukaryotic small subunit ribosomal RNA", at positions 1786 to 1831 of the family's 1831-position model. The record is from RNAcentral. Lineage: Eukaryota; Fungi; Basidiomycota; Exobasidiomycetes; Tilletiales; Tilletiaceae.
AAGUCAUAACAAGGUUUCUGUAGGUGAACCUGCAGAAGGAUCAUUAAAGAAUUUGAGCAUUUCGCUCUGCGCAAACACCUUCGGGUGUGAGCGCAUCUUUAUUUUCCACCCUGAACUACGGAGGGCUGACUUCGGUCGGCUUGUCCGGAAGAGAUUGGUAGUUUCGACUGCCUUUCUCGCCCUCUCAUAAACACAUCACAAUUAUGAAUGUUAAACCUAUUGUCUUCGGACAUGAAUAAUAUACAACUUUUGACAACGGAUCUCUUGGUUCUCC